Molecule: ribosomal RNA, 353 nt
Filed under: uncultured bacterium
Lineage: Bacteria
Description: partial 16S ribosomal RNA
Rfam family: Bacterial small subunit ribosomal RNA
Source: RNAcentral
CCUACGGGUGGCAGCAGUAGGGAAUCUUGCUCAAUGGGCGAAACCCUGACGCAGCAACGCCGCGUGGAUGAUACACCCUUUCGGAUUGUAAACUCCUUUUGUUAGAGAGGAUCUUGACGGUACCUACCGAGUAAGCACCGGCUAACUCCGUGCCAGCAGCCGCGGUAAUACGGGGGGUGCAAGCGUUGUCCGGAAUCAUUGGGCGUAAAGAGUUCGUAGGCGGGAUGGAAAGUCUGAUGUUAAAGGCAUGGGCUCAACAUCAGUACGGCACUGGAUACUGGCGAGCUAGAGUGCGGUAGAGGUAAGGGGAAUUCUUGGUGUAGCGGUGAAAUGCGUAGAGAUCAGGAGGAACA